This 36-nucleotide small RNA is filed under the name Arabidopsis thaliana (thale cress). RNAcentral describes it as "ATSL199120". Lineage: Eukaryota; Viridiplantae; Streptophyta; Magnoliopsida; Brassicales; Brassicaceae. The record is from RNAcentral.
UCAUACGGACUUCGGUUACACCAUCAAAUCUUUGAA